GGGGAAUAUUGCGCAAUGGGGGAAACCCUGACGCAGCGACGCCGUGUGAGGGAAGAAGGCCUUCGGGUCGUAAACCUCUGUCGGGAGGGAAGAACCGCCGGGUUCCGAACAGGGACUCGGCCUGACGGUACCUCCGAAGGAAGCGCCGGCUAACUCCGUGCCAGCAGCCGCGGUAAUACGGAGGGCGCGAGCGUUAAUCGGAAUCACUGGGCGUAAAGCGCGCGUAGGCGGCCAGAUAAGUCGGGCGUGAAAGCCCUCGGCUCAACCGAGGAACUGCGUUCGAUACUGUUUGGCUUGAGUCCUGGAGAGGGUGGCGGAAUUCCGGGUGUAGGAGUGAAAUCCGUAGAUAUCCGGAGGAACACCGGUGGCGAAGGCGGCCACCUGGACAGGUACUGACGCUGAGGUGCGAAAGCGUGGGGAGCAAACAG
RNAcentral lists this ribosomal RNA (428 nucleotides) under uncultured bacterium. Its description in RNAcentral is "bacterial SSU rRNA". It matches the Rfam family "Bacterial small subunit ribosomal RNA", at positions 356 to 775 of the family's 1533-position model. The record is from RNAcentral.